Molecule: ribosomal RNA, 550 nt
Filed under: uncultured bacterium
Lineage: Bacteria
Description: bacterial SSU rRNA
Rfam family: Bacterial small subunit ribosomal RNA
Source: RNAcentral
UAGGGAAUCUUCGGCAAUGGACGGAAGUCUGACCGAGCAACGCCGCGUGAGUGAAGAAGGUUUUCGGAUCGUAAAGCUCUGUUGUAAGAGAAGAACGAGUGUGAGAGUGGAAAGUUCACACUGUGACGGUAUCUUACCAGAAAGGGACGGCUAACUACGUGCCAGCAGCCGCGGUAAUACGUAGGUCCCGAGCGUUGUCCGGAUUUAUUGGGCGUAAAGCGAGCGCAGGCGGUUAGAUAAGUCUGAAGUUAAAGGCUGUGGCUUAACCAUAGUAGGCUUUGGAAACUGUUUAACUUGAGUGCAAGAGGGGAGAGUGGAAUUCCAUGUGUAGCGGUGAAAUGCGUAGAUAUAUGGAGGAACACCGGUGGCGAAAGCGGCUCUCUGGCUUGUAACUGACGCUGAGGCUCGAAAGCGUGGGGAGCAAACAGGGUUAGAUACCCUGGUAGUCCACGCUGUAAACGAUGAGUGCUAGGUGUUAGACCCUUUCCGGGGUUUAGUGCCGUAGCUAACGCAUUAAGCACUCCGCCUGGGGAGUACGACCGCAAGGUUG